ACUCGCGACCCAGUGAACCGGUUG
Molecule: non-coding RNA, 24 nt
Filed under: Arabidopsis thaliana (thale cress)
Lineage: Eukaryota; Viridiplantae; Streptophyta; Magnoliopsida; Brassicales; Brassicaceae
Source: RNAcentral